GUAGGAUGGACUUUUCACACGAGCUAAGAAUAAAAGGGUUAGAAAACCCUAGAGACCUCACAACUCUCCUCUUUCCUCUCCCAGCCGCGUCGCACUCUCUCUCUCCCCGAACUCUCACUCUCUCGUCCUCCCUCUCUGCCAUCGCCGGAAACACAGCGUGCGGCCACCAUCUCACAAAACCACCACCACCAAUCGACUCAAUACCUAAAUCCGAACCAAACCCAAGAGGAAUCGAGGCCAUGCAUCAACCUCGACCUCUCGCCCUCUCUCUUCUUCUUCCCUCCGCAACCACCGGAAAACACCAGUUCCGGCCACCACCCAUUAACACCGCCUCCACCCUUCGAACCAGCACUCAAGUCCGAUCAGAGCCCAGCCAUUCCACCACAGAUCGAAAGCUACGACGCCACUGACCUCCUCUUUCGUCGACCUCUAAUCAUCACCUCGCCACACUGACACCACCGUCCGACUCAGUGGACAAGGAAGAGCGAAACCCGUGAGCAUCAUCACUCGUCGAUGUCGGGAGACCGCCGUACCAGCAUCGUCGGAGGCCUCGGCCCUGCAUGCCCUCGUUCUCUACUCUCCAGCUCGGAUCGAGCUAAACAACCUCCGUAGCUGGAAUCAAGGCUUCACGAUGCAUCAAAGCCAUAGACCCUCAGCCUCCGAUUUCGGCCAGAGCCCCCGCACGCGUCUCACGCGCCACCGCUGGCACGUGAGCCAACCUAGCGUCACCGUGAGCACCACCAGCUUAUUCUCUUCGUUCGGUAAGCUGGAUUCUAUCCCUUCCUCUUAGUGAGGCUUCUACUUUGAUCUAGAUUGAGAACCCUAACUCGAUUUCUUAAUUUGAAAUCUGUGAGGAUUUUGGAAUAUGUGUUCUGGAGGUUUUGGAGGAAGGGAGGUCUGCAAAAUUGUAAGCUUUCGGAGAAGGGAAGUGCGGGGUCAGUUCCAUUUGUAUUGAGGAAUUGGGAAUCUGAAUGGAUUGAUGGUGGUGGAAAAAGCAGCUGGCUUGAAUCGAAUCCAUGUUUGGAAAAGAAGAAAUGGACCCGAGCGUGUGCAUUUGGAAGUGGACAAAGUGUUGAAAGUCGAGAACGAACCCGAAUGUGGGCAAGCACUCCAAUUCCAGUGUGCAGGUUUCGAGCAUGUGGUCGGGAAGCGUACAGGGGAGGCACAUGGCACGGCUUGGCGCAUUUCUCUUUAGUUUUAUCAAAAGAAGGUUUUAGUCCUUGAUCGGAUUUUGUAGUAGCUUGUUUAUUUACUUUUUAUUUAUUUCCUACUCGUUUACGAAAAUUCCGGGAGACCCGUAACCCUGGGGCGCGUCUCCCUUACUUGUCGUUACUUAGAGAUCAGUUUUAUUUUCCAAAUUGGGCUCCGAUCGCAAGCCCAAAACUCUUAGCCCAUUUCGAAUUCCGCUUUUGAAAA
This is a long non-coding RNA of Rosa rugosa (rugosa rose), 1416 nucleotides long. RefSeq lists it as uncharacterized. The record is from RefSeq and is a predicted model, not a curated record. The transcript is spliced from 4 exons. NCBI's taxonomy places the organism in Eukaryota, Viridiplantae, Streptophyta, Magnoliopsida, Rosales, Rosaceae.